UACAAAUGCUCAUGUGGGGAGGAAGUUGAGGUUCCGCUGACUAGGUAUAAGGUCGUUGUGAUAAUGGAGUAUUGUGAUCAUAAGGCUGAAUUUUUAUUCUGGGACAAGGAAUGCUUUCAAAUUCUUGGAGUUGCUGCUGAUACUCUUAGAAAGACAAUGCAACAGGUUGGUGAGGAUGAUCCUCAUAUAUAUCCUGAAGUUCUAGACAAGUUGCUUAAGAUUGAAUUUGCAUUGCGUGUAAAGUAUCAGCCGUAUUAUCAUCAG
Molecule: long non-coding RNA, 264 nt
Organism: Medicago truncatula (barrel medic)
Lineage: Eukaryota; Viridiplantae; Streptophyta; Magnoliopsida; Fabales; Fabaceae
Exons: 3
Source: RefSeq, a predicted model, not a curated record